Non-coding RNA from Cinara cedri, 210 nucleotides. The record is from the annotation of a GenBank genome assembly. Lineage: Eukaryota; Metazoa; Arthropoda; Insecta; Hemiptera; Aphididae.
CAUCCUAAGGGGAUAUGUCUUGUGAAUUUGUGAUAACACAGUCACAGAAUCAGUGCGCUACGUUAUGAUUGUGAUAUUUCUUACGUAAGAUACCAUUUUUGUUAUACUCCCCGAACAGUCGGGGAGGGAACGAAGUGCAAAUAACCUGUAAUGCUGGGAUAGUAUGGGAUCGUGCAGAAGACAGUGACUUGGCCGAUUCCGGUAACCCGG